This 371-nucleotide ribosomal RNA is filed under the name uncultured bacterium. RNAcentral's name for it is "bacterial SSU rRNA". It matches the Rfam family "Bacterial small subunit ribosomal RNA", at positions 29 to 423 of the family's 1533-position model. The record is from RNAcentral.
AACGAACGCUGGCGGCAGGCCUAAUACAUGCAAGUCGAACGGGCGUAGCAAUACGUCAGUGGCGGACGGGUGAGUAACACGUGGGAACAUGCCUUUCGGUUCGGAAUAACGCAGGGAAACUUGCGCUAAUACCGGAUGACCCGGCGACGGAAAAGAUUUAUCGCCGAAAGAUUGGCCCGCGUAGGAUUAGCUAGUUGGUGAGGUAACGGCCCACCAAGGCGACGAUCCUUAGCUGGUUUGAGAGAACGAUCAGCCACACUGGGACUGAGACACGGCCCAGACUCCUACGGGAGGCAGCAGUAGGGAAUCUUGGACAAUGGGGGAAACCCGUANAUCCAGCCAUGCCGCGUGAGUGAUGAAGGCCUUCGGUU